Molecule: long non-coding RNA, 668 nt
Organism: Suricata suricatta (meerkat)
Lineage: Eukaryota; Metazoa; Chordata; Mammalia; Carnivora; Herpestidae
Exons: 2
Source: RefSeq, a predicted model, not a curated record
GGCCCAGCGUGCCUUGUUUCAUUCUCACCCCAGCCCAGUGUGCCUACGUAGCUCCAUUUCCUAGAACAGGAAGCGGGAGAGACGUCGGGAGCUCCCAGGACCCCAGCCAUGGGUUGAUGACGCUGCACCCAGAGACUGGCCCUGCCUCCCUCCUCUCAUCGUCACACUUCGGUCCCGCCUGGGCCCCGGAUCUCUCCAGGAAACAAGACCCUAUCAAAAGAGAACAAAAAAGAGAAAGAAGCCCAAUGUCGCAGAGAGAACAUGUGCAGAUUGGCUCCUGGUUCACUCCUAACCACGGACUCUCUAAGACAUGAACACACCAGGAGCUGGACUCACUCCGGGAGGGGCACACAGUCCACUGACGGCACAGGGGAAAGGAGAAUGGCCCGGAAAUGUCACCACGAGUGGAAUUUCUACACGCAGUACUGGGGCUAACUGUAGCAGGGUUCUCAUCCAGGUUCAAGGAGAAAACAAAAUUUAUCUUUGCAAACACAGAAUACAAAAUGGUUGAGCACUACCUAAGUCAUCCAGUCUCUGAGAUAAUUUGCUAUCAAAAAAGAUAAAAUUAAAUCAUGGAUAUUUGGGUCCCUUUUCAACUGCACCCGGAUCCAAUUCCAGGGGCAUCUCUUACUGUGCUUCUUGUUUAAAAAAAAAAAAAAAAGUGAAGG